GCGACCCCAGGUCAGGCGGGACUACCCGCUGAGUUUAAGCAUAUCAAUAAGCGGAGGAAAAGAAACUUACCAGGAUUCCC
This 80-nucleotide ribosomal RNA is filed under the name Cedrela odorata. RNAcentral describes it as "partial 26S ribosomal RNA". It matches the Rfam family "Eukaryotic large subunit ribosomal RNA", at positions 1 to 79 of the family's 3401-position model. RNAcentral also lists the same sequence under 1 other name. Lineage: Eukaryota; Viridiplantae; Streptophyta; Magnoliopsida; Sapindales; Meliaceae. The record is from RNAcentral.